CGAUAUGAUGAUAUGUUAUGUCAAAAAAAAUUCUUGUAUUCUAAUAACUGGUUUCUUUUCUGUAGAACCGGGAACCAGUUGUAACUUAUUAGUUAGUUUCGUAUUUUAUUUCUAUAUUUCCAUUAAUCGCAUCUCUAAAGUAUUAUCAUAUUCGAAGAUAGACAUUUUAAUUGAGAAAAUGUAUUAUUUACGACAAUAAUUUGUAUUAAAGCAGAAUUCUUCAUUAGAUAAAAUUUGUUCGAAACUUCCGGACACUGUCACCGCCUUUUUUAAAUUGGGAAAACAACGACACUAGACAUGCUAGAAGAGCAGUUCUACAGAAUAGCGUUCAGUCUAUGAGGUCCAGUAUUUGGUGUCACAGGGUGGUCAGAGCCCUUCAAACUGUAUAGGAAGGAUGAUGAAAAAGUGUGGCACUAAUCAGUUAUGGGCCAAAUACAGUCUGAAGGGGCAAAAGGGAAAAGAGGCAUUCACAGGUCACCCUUUGUGCAGGAUAAUCCUGAAAAGUUGUGCAAGAGUGUUCCCAAAAUCCAAGGUUUCCGAUAUGGAUGGACUCUUAAUUGACUUCCUAAAACAGGCCCCACACAAGCCAGGAGGACCAAAAUAUAAGAAACCUGUAAGAAAAGGACAGACGAUUGCGCAAGAAGAAUUGGAGUCUGAACAAAUAAAUCUGUUUAAAAGUA
Molecule: long non-coding RNA, 680 nt
Organism: Mytilus californianus (California mussel)
Lineage: Eukaryota; Metazoa; Mollusca; Bivalvia; Mytilida; Mytilidae
Exons: 4
Source: RefSeq, a predicted model, not a curated record